GUUUUUUAACAAAACAUGUCUUGAUGGUUUAUUUUUAUUAAGUCGGGCCUGCUCAAUGAUUGUUAAUUAAAUAGCCGCGGUAUUUUGACUGUGCAAAGGUAGCAUAAUCAUUUGUCUUUUAAUUGAAGGCUUGAAUGAAUGGUUUGAUGAGAAAAUGACUUUCUUUAUAUCAGUUAUAUUGAACUUAAUAUUUUAGUUAAAAAGCUAAAAUGAUAAAGUGGGACGAGAAGACCCUAUAGAAUUUUAUUUUUUUUUAUUUAUUUAUUUUAUGGUAAUUAAAAAUUUUUAUAUAUUAAGAAAUUUUGUUGGGGUGACAGUGGGAUUCUAUUAACUCCUAUAGAUCAAAUAUUUACAUAUUAGUAUUUUAAAGAUCCUUUAUUAUUGAUAAAAAGAUUAAAUUACCUUAGGGAUAACAGCGUAAUUUCUUUGGAGAGUUCUUAUCGAUAAAGAUGGUUGCGACCUCGAUGUUGGAUUAAAAUUAGUUUUAAGUGCAGAAGCUUAAAUUCCUAGGUCUGUUCGACCUUUAAAUUUUUACAUGAUCUAAUUUCCCA
RNAcentral lists this ribosomal RNA (551 nucleotides) under Apodiphus amygdali. RNAcentral describes it as "partial large subunit ribosomal RNA". It matches the Rfam family "Archaeal large subunit ribosomal RNA", at positions 1894 to 2684 of the family's 2987-position model. Lineage: Eukaryota; Metazoa; Arthropoda; Insecta; Hemiptera; Pentatomidae. The record is from RNAcentral.